CCCUUAGAUGUCCUGGGCUGCACGCGCGCUACACUGGAAGUUACGGAUUGAGAUACUACCUUGUCCGAAAUGGUCCGGGUAAUCACCUAAAAGCUUGUCAUAAUUGGAAUGGAUUAUUGUAACUAGUAAUCCUGAACGAGGAAUUCCUAGUAAGUCCCAGUCAACAGCUGGUACUGAUUACGUCCCUGCCCUUUGUACACACCGCCCGUCGCUACUACUGAUUGGACGUUUAAGCAAGAUUUUUAAACACUGACAGUGUGUAGUUCACGCUAUACUACAGUGAGAAGAAGAAGAUCGAGUUUACUUGUCUAGAGGAAGUAAAAGUCGUAACA
This 332-nucleotide ribosomal RNA is filed under the name uncultured eukaryote. RNAcentral's name for it is "partial 18S ribosomal RNA". It matches the Rfam family "Eukaryotic small subunit ribosomal RNA", at positions 1470 to 1796 of the family's 1831-position model. The record is from RNAcentral.